This is a long non-coding RNA of Xenopus laevis (African clawed frog), 1902 nucleotides long. RefSeq lists it as uncharacterized. The record is from RefSeq and is a predicted model, not a curated record. The transcript is spliced from 2 exons. NCBI's taxonomy places the organism in Eukaryota, Metazoa, Chordata, Amphibia, Anura, Pipidae.
ACAUUUAAGUGACUCACCUAUGGUGACUCACCUAUGAGACUUCAAUAAAUGCAAUGGCCAAACAUUGUGAAGUAGAAUUUUAAAUUUUAUGAUGUAAAACUGAAAAAACAAGAUAAAAAUUUGACAUUCCGAGUUUUAAUGAGCAGGACUUCACCUGCUGUAUCAGUCAGUAUCUGUAUUGUGUAUGUUUCAUAAACACGCCCUUCUGUUGUACAGCGCUCCAGCAUAUGUUGGCGCUUUAUAAACACUGCAAAAAAAAUGAAGGCUUCAAAGCGUAGCCGUCCUUAUAAAGACGUCACUGUCUCAAUCAUAUCGCGUUUUCUUCCAGGUUCCUUCCCGGCUUCCAUACAGUCCGUGACGUCUCCCCACGCUGUCCUGUGAUUGGCUGAUUUCAAUAGUCCCGUGCUACUUGUAUUGAGAGAGCAGCGCCAGCUGUAGUGGAAGAGAUUGUGAUAGAGGCGCAUUGAGAAGCGGCGGGAGUGGGAGGCUUUAGAUCAAUAUACCGGCAUACAAGAGGGAAGGGGGUCUAAGGCCGAGCUGCAGACGCAGAUGGUCAGCCAUAGUGUGGAUACCGACCAGGAGGGAAGAAGAAAACGGAAGGACUGGCGCCCAUAGGAGAGUGCACAGUUGCACGUCUCCUGCUCUCCCUAGGGGGUGUAAGUAAAAGAAGAUGGGUUAAUGUCUGCCUGCUGCAGCUCAGCUUUAGAUCCCUUCCCACUUGUAUGCCGGUAUACAAGUCUAAAGCCUCCCACUCCUGUCGCUUCUCAAUGCGCCUCUACAGCAAUCCCUUCCACCACAAUAGCAGCAGCUACUGAUGCUUUUUUAAUUGAAGUAGCCCGCUACUAUUGAAAUCAUCCAAUCACAGGACAGCGCAGGGAGACGUCAGGACUGUAUGGAAGCCGGGAAGGAACCUGGAAGAAAACACAAUAUAAUUGAGACAGUGACAUCUUUAUAAGGACGGCAAUGCUUUCAAACCUUGAAAAAAAAAAUUAAAACUUGGGAUUUAAACUCAUUUUAUCAGUUUUUUUUAUUAUUUUUGUUUUUUUUUAGACAAAAUUAGAAUUUAUACCUCGUAAUGUUUCUCGAUUGCAUUUAUUGAAGUCUCAUAGGUGAGUCACUUAAAUGUGACUUUAUGAGCACAAUUUGCAUAAAUUAUAACAAGCAGCAAUUAGUUUGAUGGGCACAGACAGGUCAGCCAUACAGGAACAUGAGGCAACAUGGAAAUCCCUGAUACAAGGAGAGUUAAACACCAGGGGGCAGUACCAGGACUGUCCUUGUAAGUGGCCUGAUCAAUGUGUGAUCUGUUUCUAUCACUUCCCUGUUCUUCCACCAAACCACAUUUUCUAAAAGUGUGAGCUCUACACACACACCCUCCAACGAUGCCCUAGUAGCUCCCCGUCUUUUCUGCUGAUUCACUGCACAUGCUGUCACUUACUGAGCUUAGUUACUGACUCAUAAUAUACUGUAUAUACAGAAUACAAAUGUCACAGUUUAAGCCUAAUUAGUAAUUAAUACAGAUAUUUACUACACAGCAUCUUAGAAACUAGUAGGAAAAAUCCCAACUCCAAAAUUUAAAUCUGCCCACUACUAUCCUUAUGUAUCACCAUAUGAGGUACAUCACUAAACCCAGAUUAUAUACGGAUAUAUUUUAUAAAAUUUUCACAAUCUUUGUGUUAUAUGAAGAUGAUCUGUCUGUAUAAAAACUCCUCUCUGUCUGGAAGAUCUUAAUUUAUUCUGGAAACACAAGAGAAUGAUCUACAUCUGAAAGAACAUAAUUGUGCUAGUAACAUUUAGCACUUUCUGGACUAUUAGUUAUAAUUGCAUUCUGCAGCGGGAUUUCUAUGUACCUUCAAGUAGGUCUGGACUAGAAGUCAGAAUAGGGAAAAUCAUAUCAUACUUACC